AGAGUUGAGUCCUGGCUCAGGACGAACGCUGGCGGUGUGCCUCAUACAUGCAAGUCGAACGAGAAACUGACUUCGGUCAGUGGAAAGUGGCGGACGGGUGAGUAAUAUGUAGGAAAUCUGCCCUAGAGAGGGGGACAACAGAGGGAAACUUCUGCUAAUACCCCAUAUGAGCUUGGUUGAAAUACCAAUCUUGAAAACUCCGGUGCUCUAGGAUGAGCCUGCAUCUGAUUAGCUAGUUGGUGGUGUAAUGGACCACAAAGGCGACGAUCAGUAGCUGGUUUGAGAGGAUGAUCAGCCGCAAUGGGACUGAGACACGGCCCAUACUCCUACGGGAGGCAGCAGUAGGGAAUUUUGCGCAAUGGGGGGAAAAACCCCUGACGCAGCAACACCGCGUGAAUGUUAAGCCCUUCGGGGUAUAAAGUUCUGUCAAUGGGGAAGAAUAAAUGACUGUACCCAUAAAGGAAGCACCGGCUAACUCCGUGCCAGCAGCGGC
Molecule: ribosomal RNA, 493 nt
Filed under: uncultured bacterium
Lineage: Bacteria
Description: bacterial SSU rRNA
Rfam family: Bacterial small subunit ribosomal RNA
Source: RNAcentral